Phoenix dactylifera (date palm) is the source of this 1481-nucleotide long non-coding RNA. RefSeq lists it as uncharacterized. The record is from RefSeq and is a predicted model, not a curated record. Lineage: Eukaryota; Viridiplantae; Streptophyta; Magnoliopsida; Arecales; Arecaceae.
UUAUGCUCUGUUGUAUAAUAUUAGUAAUGUCUUUUAUGGUCAUUUUGUUAUACAAAAGUACUUUCUCAGUUUGUUUACCAAACAUGUUAAAGUGCCGCAACACUUUAGAGAUGUAGUUAUCAAACAACAAACAGCUUUUUAUAAAAGCUCUACUUCAGACAGAUCGACUUCCAAAAGCUCUACUGCUAACAGCUCCUCCAAACAGGGCCUUAAGUCCGGGGAAGGUUGAAGGGCAUGAUUCGUUGGUUAUUUUGGUUUAUAAGCUUACUAGUGAGAUGACGCAUUCAGAUGGGGGAGUUGUGGAGGGAGGGAAUGCACGAUUUGUUGGUUAUUCAGGUUUUAUAAGCUUACAAGAGAGAUGGUGCAGAAAGAUUCAGCCUGUUGAUCUGAACCCUGCUGCUGAUGCGAGGCUUGCUGAUUAAGUGGAUAAAGCUCAUCGACAACACGUUGCUUUAAAUCUCUGCUGACAAUUUGCGGUUUUAUGGCAGGAACAUCAAAAAGUUGAUGAUUUGAGAUAAAAAAAUAUGUUCAGGCUCGAAAAUCAGAUUUUUAUGCACAAAUGAAGGUCAAAUAGGGAUAACCUGGCAUUUCUCAUCUCACAGUGAAACUUGUACCUACAUUCUCUCAGCAAUGGAGAUGAAUUCUUUCUUGUAAAUUCUGUGUUCUCAAUGUAAAGUUUUGAACUGCUUGUUAAAGCUUGUUUCUCCUUCUUGCACCGGCCAAGAUGCAGUAAUUGCUUCCUCAAACCAAACCACAUCAACUUAGUAUGCAAUCAUUGUUAUUCCAAGAAACCGCAUUGGGGAUGGGCUAUUGCAAUGAAAGAAGAAAGGUUAUCUUACUCAAAGCCUAUGCUUUACACCAUACGCAUGGAGCUGCUCUGCUAUGCUGAGAGUAUGCAAGAACAAAGACGAAGGUGAAGUGAUCGGACCCGACCGGUUCGAUGAGCAUUUGGUGGUAAAGGUGGAUGUAUUGGAGGGGACGUUGCUGCACACUGAGGCAGCUGAUCAGGGUGUACUUUGAGGGAGUCCAGGACCAUUUUGGCGUACUUAAGGCUGCCUGGGUCUGAAACCGCACAGAAUCCAGUGAGGUGGCCGGUGGAGUAGUCAUGGGUUAUUUGGAAGGAUUUGAUGAUGAGAACAUGGCCGUGGGCACUUUGUUGGAGCAGGAAGAGAUUUGAGUGUUGGGUUGGUAGUUGGUUUGUUUUUGAGACUGUUGGGAUGACAGAGAAGGGAACUGAAGCUAGUGAAGUCAUGAGCUUCAGCUACUUCAGGAGGGGGAAGAAGAGAGGGAAAGCAAGGAAAAACAUAGUAACCGUUGGGAAGACGUUGGGACUUCCGAAGAGUAGAAGGCUUCCUUAGUUGUGGGUUAUUUUCAGGGAUAUUUAUGUUUAGUCCAGUUUCCUUUUUUAUAAAGAAGGUUAUGUUUUAGUACAGAAAUGGAGACUAUUAAUUACAUUUUAUAUAACAUGGUUGUUCAUGUUU